UACGAAGGGGGCUAGCGUUGCUCGGAAUCACUGGGCGUAAAGGGCGCGUAGGCGGCCCGCACAAGUCUGCGGUGAAAACCUCCGGCUUAACCGGGGGCCGGCCGUGGAAACUGUCGGGCUGGAGGCUGGGAGAGGGCAGCGGAAUUCCCGGUGUAGCGGUGAAAUGCGUAGAGAUGGGGAGAACACUCGUGGCGAAGGCGGCCAGCUAGACCAGUUCUGACACUGAGGCGCGACAGCGUGGGGAGCAAACAGG
This 253-nucleotide ribosomal RNA is filed under the name uncultured bacterium. RNAcentral describes it as "partial 16S ribosomal RNA". It matches the Rfam family "Bacterial small subunit ribosomal RNA", at positions 524 to 776 of the family's 1533-position model. The record is from RNAcentral.